This 251-nucleotide ribosomal RNA is filed under the name uncultured bacterium. RNAcentral describes it as "partial 16S ribosomal RNA". It matches the Rfam family "Bacterial small subunit ribosomal RNA", at positions 94 to 339 of the family's 1533-position model. The record is from RNAcentral.
AGUGGCGCACGGGUGAGUAACGCGUAGAUGACGUGCCUUUUAGUGGGGGAUAACAUCGGGAAACCGGUGCUAAUACCGCAUAAGCUAGAUGAUAUUGAAAUAGUUUAGGAAAGGGGGCUUCGGCUCUCGCUAAGAGAUCGGUCUGCGUGACAUUAGCUUGAUGGUGGGGUAAUGGCCUACCAUGGCUACGAUGUCUAGCUGGUCUGAGAGGAUGAUCAGUCACACUGGAACUGAGACACGGUCCAGACUCC